CUCCCCCUGUCUUUUUUCCUUCUCAGGAGACUUGCAACCUGGGGAGCAAUGAGUGGUGGCAGCUCCUCCCAGACUAACCCCCUGACCCUGACCCCAAGAGCCAUUCUCUCUGACUCUCCAUUGAGCUGAGAGAAGUCCUACCUACAUUCUCUCCUGUUAUUUCUUCUAUCCUAGGCCCUUUCUUGUUUCACUGUCCCCAGCUUUAAUAAAUGUACUCUCAAAAAAAGAAACUAAGGGAAAAUAAA
This is a long non-coding RNA of Phyllostomus discolor (pale spear-nosed bat), 245 nucleotides long. RefSeq lists it as uncharacterized. The transcript is spliced from 3 exons. Lineage: Eukaryota; Metazoa; Chordata; Mammalia; Chiroptera; Phyllostomidae. The record is from RefSeq and is a predicted model, not a curated record.